This 305-nucleotide ribosomal RNA is filed under the name uncultured bacterium. RNAcentral describes it as "bacterial SSU rRNA". It matches the Rfam family "Bacterial small subunit ribosomal RNA", at positions 332 to 632 of the family's 1533-position model. The record is from RNAcentral.
CGAACCUACGGGAGGCAGCAGUGGGGAAUAUUGCGCAAUGGACGAAAGUCUGACGCAGCGACGCCGCGUGAGGGAUGAAGGUUUUCGGAUCGUAAACCUCUGUCAGGAGGGAAGAAAGCGCAUGGCGCCAAUCAGCCAUGCGUUGACGGUACCUCCAAAGGAAGCGCCGGCUAACUCCGUGCCAGCAGCCGCGGUAAUACGGAGGAUGCGAGCGUUAUCCGGAUUUAUUGGGUUUAAAGGGUGCGUAGGCGGAUUUUUAAGUCAGCGGUAAAAUGUCCGGGCUCAACCCGGGCCGGCCGUUGAAA